RNAcentral lists this long non-coding RNA (1218 nucleotides) under Calidris pygmaea (Spoon-billed sandpiper). RNAcentral's name for it is "lncRNA (ENSCPGG00000011589.1)". Lineage: Eukaryota; Metazoa; Chordata; Aves; Charadriiformes; Scolopacidae. The record is from RNAcentral.
AUGUGGCAGCCGGGGGCAGGGGGUGCUCCCAGGGCAGCCCCUUGCCUGGUGCCCCCCCUCUCCCCUUCCCCAAAAGCACAAGGCAGAGUCUGGGGACCAGGCCAGGAUGCCAUGGGGCAUCUCCCCAGGGUACCCAGUGCUGGCCAUGGGGACAUCACUGCUGCCCUGGGCAGCCCAACGCCUGCCCUGUCCCCUCAGUGCUGGGGCGGGGGGGGCACAACCUGCCCCACGUCCCUUCACUGCUGUCGGGCCGGGGGGCUGUGGGCUGGUGAGCGGUGCCUGGGGGUAGUCCCCAUGCCGCUGGGUCCCCAAGGCCCUGUGCCUUCCUGCGCCCUGGCAAGGGCUCUGUGCCCUGUGUCAGGGGUCUGGGGCCACCUAAGGCUGCCACUUGUCCUCUUGGCCCUGUUGUGUAAUGUCACAGGCAAGGCUCCUGGCAUGGAGGGGAUCACCCCGGUGCUGCCGUGGUGCCUUAGUCCCCGCCGAGUGGGAAGGGGGCACACGGGGCUUGUGCUGGCGCCUUUGCUGCAGCGUCCCGUGACUGUCCCCAAAGCCGCCUUGGUGGGGAGGGGAUGGGGGUGCUGGCACUGCCCUGAGCACGGCCAGCUGGGGCUGCUGCCAUCGGCUCCUCUCGCACGCCUGUCCCCAAGCACGACUCGGGGUGCUCUGCGGGGCCAGCACCUCCCUCCCCACACCCAGCCAGGCUCUGUGCCCGCCGCUGCCUUUGGCCAUGGCCCAGCUCGGCUCCUGCCCUCCGCCGCGGCCCUGGAGAGCCUUUUGGGGCGAGGUGACCCCAGAGCCGGCUCUGCCGAGCCUGUCCUUUCCCCUGCCCCGCUAGCCUGGGGACUGGGCAGCCUCGGCCCCCCCCGUGCGGUGCCUGGCGUGGCCUUCAGGGACACCUCGCAACCCUCCGAAACAGGCAUCUCCUCCGAGGGCCGGCCUCGCUGCCGGUGCCCCUGGGAGGCGGCCGCCACCUCUGCCCUUGGUGCUCUCUCGGCCGGUGCCUCUCGCCUCGCCGGCCGGCGCAUCCCAGUGCACAUGGUGCUCACUUCUCCGUCUGUCCCCCAGCCUCCCUGCCCUCUCCCCGCUGCUGCCCUGUGGGGCCGGCCAGCCCGGCCCCAUUGCACAGGGACGUCCCUCCCCACACUGGCUUGGACGCUAGGGCUUUCUGUUCGCCUUCUCUUGUGUUGCCGCCGUCGGCCAAGGACUCGCUGUAAAUAG